UAUGUGAUCGUCUCUCGCAUAUCAAUAAGCGGAGGAAAAGAAACUAACAAGGAUUCCCCUAGUAACGGCGAGUGAAGCGGGAAGAGCUCAAAUUUGAAAUCUUAAAGGGUUUCCCUUUACGAAUUGUAGUUUAAAGAAGUGUUUUCUGUUGAGGUUUUGGUAAAAGUUCUUUGGAAUAGGACAUCAUAGAGGGUGAGAAUCCCGUAUUUGACCUUUACUUUCAACUUUGUGAUACACUUUCAAAGAGUCGGAUUGUUUGGGAAUGCAGUCCAAAAUGGGUGGUAAAUUUCAUCUAAAGCUAAAUAUUGGCGAGAGACCGAUAGCGAACAAGUACCGUGAGGGAAAGAUGAGAAGAACUUUGAAAAGAGAGUUAAACAGUACGUGAAAUUGUCAAAAGGGAAGCGUUUGACACCAGUGUUGUUUUUCUGAAAAUCAAUUAAAGAACUGUUUAUGCUAAGUUGUUUAGACUUUAUCAGCUAUCUGUUUAGUUUUGAGCUUUUCUUUAAUGCACUUUUCAGUUAACAAGUCAACAUCAAUUUCUUUUGCUGUAAAAAAGCUUGAGGAAGGUGGCUUGAGAUUCGUCUUAAGUGUUUAUAGCCUCUUGCCUAUGCAGUCGGAGAGAUUGAGGUCUGCAGCGUAGAUCCUUCGGGGCUAAAUGCAUUUGUGCUAAGUUAUAGCAUUUUAUAGACAACUUGUUGACUAUGAUUUGUCUUGUAGCUUACUCGCUUAUGUUAUUUUACCUACGCUUAGGAUGUUGAACGCGCACAGAGUCUC
Molecule: ribosomal RNA, 774 nt
Filed under: uncultured Neocallimastigales
Lineage: Eukaryota; Fungi; Neocallimastigomycota; Neocallimastigomycetes; Neocallimastigales
Description: partial large subunit ribosomal RNA
Rfam family: Eukaryotic large subunit ribosomal RNA
Source: RNAcentral